UUUGAUGCCAAGUGUACAAUGAAAAUUGACAACAGAAGUGUCAUGGUCUUGGUGGAAAAAGCCUUGCUCUUCAUUGACCUCUGUUUAAUAAUGGCUGGUGAUAGAAAACUAUCAGGAAUGCUUCAAGCUGGCAAUGGAGGGAAAUGUAAAAGACACUGAAAAAUCACAAGGUUUAGAAUAUGCUCACAGUCAGUCUUCAAG
This is a long non-coding RNA of Mya arenaria, 201 nucleotides long. RefSeq lists it as uncharacterized. The record is from RefSeq and is a predicted model, not a curated record. NCBI's taxonomy places the organism in Eukaryota, Metazoa, Mollusca, Bivalvia, Myida, Myidae. The transcript is spliced from 3 exons.